Molecule: ribosomal RNA, 497 nt
Filed under: uncultured bacterium
Lineage: Bacteria
Description: partial 16S ribosomal RNA
Rfam family: Bacterial small subunit ribosomal RNA
Source: RNAcentral
GAUGAACGCUGGCGGCGUGCCUAAUACAUGCAAGUCGAGCGAACGGACGAGAAGCUUGCUUCUCUGAUGUUAGCGGCGGACGGGUGGGUAACACGUGGAUAACCUACCUAUAAGACUGGGAUAACUUCGGGAAACCGUAGCUAAUACCGGAUAAUAUUUUGAACCGCAUGGUUCAAAAGUGAAAGACGGUCUUGCUGUCACUUAUAGAUGGAUCCGCGCUGCAUUAGCUAGUUGGUAAGGUAACGGCUUACCAAGGCAACGAUGCAUAGCCGACCCGAGAGGGUGAUCGGCCACACUGGAACUGAGACACGGUCCAGACUCCUACGGGAGGCAGCAGUAGGGAAUCUUCCGCAAUGGGCGAAAGCCUGACGGAGCAACGCCGCGUGAGUGAUGAAGGUCUUCGGAUCGUAAAACUCUGUUAUUAGGGAAGAACAUAUGUGUAAGUAACUGUGCACAUCUUGACGGUACCUAAUCAGAAAGCCACGGCUAACUACGUG